ACCUGUAGCGUGAGGCCAUCGGAGCUGGUGGUAGACCACGUGGCGCAAUCGCCUUGGUCUGCAACGAGUAUAUAUCGCUCACGUCCGAGCUGCUGUCACAGAUUUCAUAGGGUUAGAUUAAAAGCCUCUUCCAUCUAUCAAAACAAACAUAAGUGUUUUUGCCGUGAGAGGCGUAGGAGGCAUAGGGCAUGAUGAUUCAUUUCCUGGCUGUCUCUAAUUCGCUUGGUGCAGGUCGGGAACCGUUUCGUCCCGUUUGAGCUUAUGAAUCUGCUGGCUCGAGGCUGCGGGACGAAACGGAUCCCGCCUUGCAUCAACUGAAUCGGAGACCGCGGUGAAGGCGGUUUCAUGGAUCUUGCGUUCCUGCUUUGCUCGUUCGUCAGAUCUCGUCUCAGAGAAACAGAGUUACUGUUUUGGGGGAAUUUGAGAAAAGCAUAGAAUCUUUCAAAAAGAAUGAGCAAAGCAUGGCGUGUUCAGACACUCGCUCGGAGUCUUUAGUUUUUUACUAAAUAAAAAAUUGUUGUAGGGUUUCGACGAGGCCACUAGCAUCCCCUUGUGUUAGGGGAAUUGGAUCCCAGGUUCCCAUCCGGAUUCAUUUUGGAAAGAUCAGCACAUUUUAGCCAUUUAUCUUGUAUUAGUUAUAAAUUAUAUGAUUUUUUCUAAAUACAAAUAAUAUCUGACGAAAACUAACUGCACGAUGGACGAUGAACGGUUAACAUGUGAGAAUUCUUAGAGGUUCUUUGAAAUAUUAAUGACAUUCUUAUUUUUGAUUAAGAAAAAAAAACCGACGCAUUAACUGCUCGCUUUAUAAUUAAUCUUGUUUUUUAUUUUCACAAGUGCACAUAAAGGAAUGAUGAACGAAAAAAGUGAAGGGAGAAAUAAAAAAAAUGUGUGAAACAAAAACUUAAAUACGUUUAAUUGGUUUAAUCGAUUAUAAUCUUUCGUAGUUUCAUGUACAAUUCUUCCACUUUUUUCUCAAGGCUUUAUUUACGUUU
Molecule: long non-coding RNA, 992 nt
Organism: Pyrus x bretschneideri (Chinese white pear)
Lineage: Eukaryota; Viridiplantae; Streptophyta; Magnoliopsida; Rosales; Rosaceae
Exons: 2
Source: RefSeq, a predicted model, not a curated record